Molecule: long non-coding RNA, 689 nt
Organism: Chrysoperla carnea
Lineage: Eukaryota; Metazoa; Arthropoda; Insecta; Neuroptera; Chrysopidae
Exons: 3
Source: RefSeq, a predicted model, not a curated record
AUAUUGAUUAGAUAGAGUAGUAGCGUCCGUUAAAACACUUUUACGAAGUGAGUUGUGUACCUAUGUGAUGUGCUAACCUCUGUCGUGUCGUGCUUCAACUAUUAAAUAUUGAUUUUAAAGUCUGAAAAGCAUCAUGGCUGAAAUGGCUAAAGUCAGAAUUUGAAAUUUAAGAAAAAAUUGCCAUGAUAUUUGUAUUUCUAGUCAUUAAAUUAGUAUUUAUGUGUGAAAUCAGUGAUUGAUUUAAUAAUUUAAUAUAGUUUUGUGUGAUGUUUUAGUGUGAGAAGUGUAUCACUGUCUUAUAUUUAAGCCGAAGCACUCCAAUUCUACAUUUUCGAGGCUAUUUAUCAAAAUAAGAAUGCCAAUGCUUGAGAACAGUUACUAUAAAAUAAGAAAUAUUUAAGAAAAAAGAAUUGUUGAAUUUUCUUUCUUAUAAUAUGAAAAUAAAUAAGUUAAAAAACUGUAAUAAAUCUUCCAGCAUUUAACAAAAGACAAGAAACUACAUACAUUUUUUCUGGGUAUACUUAUGAAAAAAAAUGCAUCUUUAAAUUUUCAACAACAAAAAAAUUUGCUUCCUUGGUCAUACAAUUCUACUCAUUCGAUUCGCACAAAACUGAUUGUGUCGCUUCCAAAAAAAUAUAUAUUUUGAGAACUAAGAAAAAAAUUGGAAUUGUGGGAAAAAAACAACCACG